This 493-nucleotide ribosomal RNA is filed under the name uncultured Sphingobacteriales bacterium. RNAcentral describes it as "bacterial SSU rRNA". It matches the Rfam family "Bacterial small subunit ribosomal RNA", at positions 882 to 1382 of the family's 1533-position model. The record is from RNAcentral. Lineage: Bacteria; Pseudomonadati; Bacteroidota; Sphingobacteriia; Sphingobacteriales.
GCCAGCCCGCUCAGAACUCAAAGGAAUUGACGGGGCCGCACAAGCGGUGAGCAUGUGGUUUAAUUCGAUGAUACGCGAGGAACCUUACCUGGGCUCAAAUGUAUGUUGACGUAUUCUGAAAGGGAUACUUCUUCGGACAAUAUACAAGGUGCUGCAUGGUUGUCGUCAGCUCGUGCCGUGAGGUGUCGGGUUAAGUCCCAUAACGAGCGCAACCCCUAUCAUUAGUUGCCAUCAGGUCAAGCUGGGGACUCUAAUGAAACUGCCUACGCAAGUAGUGAGGAAGGUGGGGAUGACGUCAAAUCAGCACGGCCCUUACGUCCAGGGCUACACACGUGCUACAAUGGCCGGUACAAAGGGCAGCCAAGCCGCGAGGUGGAGCUAAUCCCAUAAAACCGAUCGUAGUCCGGAUCGCAGUCUGCAACUCGACUGCGUGAAGUCGGAAUCGCUAGUAAUCGUGAAUCAGAAUGUCACGGUGAAUACGUUCCCGGGCCUU